This 181-nucleotide unclassified non-coding RNA is filed under the name soil metagenome. RNAcentral describes it as "partial internal transcribed spacer 1". The record is from RNAcentral.
CAGAGUUGCAAAACUCCCCAAACCAUCGUGAACCUUUACCGCUAAACAGUUGCUUCGGCGGGUGGCCCGCGGGGGUGCGCAAGCCGCGCCCCCGGGGGCCGCCGAGCCCGCCGGAGGAAUCCAAAAAACCAUCGCUUUCAGUACCGGCCUCUCUGAGUUAACUGUACUUUUAAUUAAGUCA